This 407-nucleotide transfer-messenger RNA is filed under the name Candidatus Paraimprobicoccus trichonymphae. It matches the Rfam family "transfer-messenger RNA". From Rfam's summary of the family: Bacterial tmRNA, also known as 10Sa RNA or SsrA, is named for its dual tRNA and mRNA-like properties. Its role is to liberate the mRNA from a stalled ribosome. To accomplish this part of the tmRNA is used as a reading frame that ends in a translation stop signal. The record is from RNAcentral. Lineage: Bacteria; Bacillati; Bacillota; Clostridia.
GGGGACGCAAUGGUUUCGACGGGAAUUGUGAACUUAGGCAAGCGAGUAAUGUUUGACGAAACAUUAAAAAAACGUUAUUUAAAUGUUAAACGGAGACGAUCCUAACAGAAAUAAAAAAGCCAAGAAAACAGCAAAGGUUUACUCUUUCGGUUGUCCAAUGGCUGCUUAAUUAAAUUUAAGCGAUGUUUUCAUUUGGAGUGCUACGGCCGUUUGAGAGCAUAAUAUUAGUAGUGAACGUGAAUUAAUGAGUUUCUUUGUAGUUAGUCAUGAAGUUUUUAAAGAUAUCUUAAGAAUAAAGUUUUCCAAUAAUCUUGUUUUUUAGAGAAAAUUUUAAAUAUUGGAUACACUCGUAGAAAACUUAAGCGAAUGAUUUUCGGACAGGGGUUCGAUUCCCCUCGUUUCCACCA